GUCUGGUCCCAGUGCAGUGGUGUUUACAACUAAUUGGUCCCAACCAGUUGCAGAGUCCUUUGUUCCUUGUCCACUCCCACCGCUUGCUUCACUUGACUAGCCCUAA
Molecule: unclassified non-coding RNA, 106 nt
Organism: Otolemur garnettii (small-eared galago)
Lineage: Eukaryota; Metazoa; Chordata; Mammalia; Primates; Galagidae
Rfam family: Y RNA
About the family: Y RNAs are components of the Ro ribonucleoprotein particle (Ro RNP), in association with Ro60 and La proteins. The Y RNAs and Ro60 and La proteins are well conserved, but the function of the Ro RNP is not known. In humans the RNA component can be one of four small RNAs -- hY1, hY3, hY4 and hY5.
Source: Ensembl